AACUGACCAAGGCAGAAUCUUCAGCAGCUCAAUGGAAACCAUCUGGAGGGAGGGGCUGCCCUCGGGGCGGGGAGAGUCCUGGCUCCUGGGCCUGCUGUGCACUCCCUGCCUCCAUAGGAGACACGGCUGGACAGCUCAGGAGCCUUCCCUGCCAGACCUACCCCCAGGAGAGGCUCUGCCCGAGCCCUGAGGGUGUGGGUGGGUGCUAGCUGACUUAGCAUGCUGGUGAUUCAAGGGUCCCCCUGAUAACACAGGGGUCAGGAGGGGGUCCUCCCACUGCAGGGUCUGCAGGUGGCCAGAUUCUGACUGUCUCCAGGCUUGUCAUUGCUAACAUCUGUGGGCACCCUUGGGUGACUGCUGGGCAUGGGGCUACAUCCUGCUACCUCACCAGCUCCUUCUCUAGGAGGUCUGGAUCAGAGACUGUCCCCACACGGGGUAGGGUUGGGUUAGCAGGAUGGAGCCUGCCCCUGGUGCAAAAGCUCGGACAUACUCACAGAGGGGAUCUGCCCCAGUAAAGGGACUCUCUGAAGGACUCCCUCUGUCUACAGGGGUCCUCCAUUCGGGACCUGGCCAGAUUAUUAGGGCUAUGGGGUAGGAGACAGUGACCUGGGGCAGGAAGUUCCUCUGCCUGGAUGGUCCAUUGAAGGACUCACGAGUCACCUUUACUCUGUAGAAUCUCCUGCUCUGGCCCUUGCUGUGGGGUCUAAUGCCAAGUGCCAGUGUGCCCACUCUUCU
This 735-nucleotide long non-coding RNA is filed under the name Marmota monax (woodchuck). The record is from RNAcentral. Lineage: Eukaryota; Metazoa; Chordata; Mammalia; Rodentia; Sciuridae.